RNAcentral lists this ribosomal RNA (468 nucleotides) under uncultured bacterium. RNAcentral describes it as "partial 16S ribosomal RNA". It matches the Rfam family "Bacterial small subunit ribosomal RNA", at positions 28 to 507 of the family's 1533-position model. The record is from RNAcentral.
GACGAACGCUGGCGGCGUGCUUAACACAUGCAAGUCGAACGGAAAGGCCCUGCUUUUGUGGGGUGCUCGAGUGGCGAACGGGUGAGUAACACGUGAGUAACCUGCCCUUGACUUUGGGAUAACUUCAGGAAACUGGGGCUAAUACCGGAUAGGAGCUCCUGCUGCAUGGUGGGGGAUGGAAAGUUUCGGCGGUUGGGGAUGGACUCGCGGCUUAUCAGCUUGUUGGUGGGGUAGUGGCUUACCAAGGCUUUGACGGGUAGCCGGCCUGAGAGGGUGACCGGCCACAUUGGGACUGAGGUACGGCCCAGACGCCUACGGGAGGCAGCAGUGGGGAAUAUUGCACAAUGGGCGGAAGCCUGAUACAGCAACGCCGCGUGCGGGAUGACGGCCUUCGGGUUGUAAACCGCUUUCGCCUGUGACGAAGCGUGAGUGACGGUAAUGGGUAAAGAAGCACCGGCUAACUACGUG